Molecule: microRNA precursor, 100 nt
Filed under: Mus pahari (shrew mouse)
Lineage: Eukaryota; Metazoa; Chordata; Mammalia; Rodentia; Muridae
Description: microRNA 1195 (MGP_PahariEiJ_G0007063.1)
Source: RNAcentral
CAGAGGCAGGCAGAUCUCUGUGAGUUCGAGGCCAGCCUGGUCUACAGAGUGAGUUCCAGGGCACCCAGGGUUACACAGAGAGAAACCCUGUCUUGAAAAG